Peromyscus californicus insignis is the source of this 1904-nucleotide long non-coding RNA. RefSeq lists it as uncharacterized. The transcript has 3 exons. The record is from RefSeq and is a predicted model, not a curated record. NCBI's taxonomy places the organism in Eukaryota, Metazoa, Chordata, Mammalia, Rodentia, Cricetidae.
CUCUCCUUGUCUGCAUCUCUCGCUUCUUUUGAGCAAGGGACUUAACGAGAGAGGCUGACAUUUCAGAGACACAGCGUCUCUGAGUUUAGAAAGCUGGGAGUGGGUGGUUUUCAGAAGGCACCUGUAAACACCAUGCAGAUCCGCUGUGGGAAAUGCGUGAGAGUCCCAAGAUGGCAUGAAGAGAAACAAAGCAAUAUUCUCUUCCCACCAAGUGCAGAAAAAAAAAAAUGUGCGACUCCAGGGCGGCAAGGAAUGUUUCAUUCAUUCACCCAUUCAUUCAAGGAAGGCUUCUUGAGCUGGGAGUCUCAUUUGUUUGCUCAUCCAUGCGUUUGUUUGUUAUCAGCACUGAGCACUAGGAUGUUGAAGAAGGCAAAUGGGUGCGUGAUUACACACCGAGGAAUGGGAAGUCCACAGCAAAGCCUCGUGUUUCCAUCACACCACAAUCUCGGAAAAUCACGGCAUCUGGAAAGUGUUCCACAGGUUCUGAUCUCCGGAGGAGGCACCAGGGUGUUUGGAGACAGAAUAGUCUGGAUUUAAACCUCAGCCCUGCUUCUUUGAAGGCAAUACCAUUUUCUUCUCUAAGAUGAGUCUGUCCUUUUGUAAAGUGGAGGUAACAGAGCUCCCGGUUCCUGGUUUCGCAUCGGCCGACACUUUACCUACACUGAGGAACUUUCCCCAGCAGUGCAUCGUAAUUGUUUCUGAUGAUGCUUCUAGAGGAAAGUGAUAGAAACCCAGUUCAAAUGGGCUUAAGGAAAACAAAAAGCGGAAUGUCCGUGGCAGUCUGUACAGCUUCAGGCAAAGCUCCUUUCUAAGGUCAGAAAAGCUCAGUCAGAGAUUUCCAGAUGAACCAUCAGUCAGUGACUCCCCAGGAAGUGACAUCCCAGACACUGAUGAAGUGCCACCAAAGCAAAGAGACCAGGACUGCUUUGGUCAGUAUGAUUUGAACCUUAGGGAACUACUUAGAAGAAACUUUGCUUAUGUAAAUCCUUCCCUGGUCAGCUCACAUACAGUUCCCAUCAAGUCAAAUUUCAUGAUACUAUCAGCACAGAAUUACCCUGAACACAGUAUCAUUUAACAGCACUGCUUCCUUCUAACAAGGUAAAAAACCAAGAGCCUAGCCUCUUGGAAUGUGACUUAAGCAAUGCAGCUUUGACAAGUUCAGCCCUACUUGCAGACUUUCAUGACUGGACUCCUUGUAACCAAUGGCAUUUCGAUGGUCCCUAUGGUGGUUAAAUAAGAAUGUCCCCCAUAUACUCAGAUGUUUGAGUACUUGGCCCCCAGUUAGUGGUGCUGUUUGGGGAGGUUCAGAAGGUGUGGUCUUGCUGGAGGAAGUAUGUCUGUGGGUGCUGGCUUUGAAGUUUCUUUCUUUCUUUUUUUUUUCUUUUUUUGGUUUUUUUGAGACAGGGUUUCUCUGUGUAGCUUUGGAGCCUGUCCUGGAACUCACUCUGUCGCCCAGGCUGUCCUCGAACUCACAGAGAUCCACCUGCCUCUGCCUCCCAAGUGCUAGGAUUAAAGGCAUGCGCCACCACCGCCCGGCUGGCUUUGAGGUUUCUAAGGCAUGCAUCAUUCCUAGUUUGCCCCGGGCUUGCUGCUCCAGCCACGGUCCCUCCCUGCUGUAAUGAGCUCUGAUCCUACUGAACUAAUAAGCCAAAAUAAACCCUUCUAUAAAUUGCCUUGGUCACGGUGUUUCUUAUUACAGGAAUAGAAAACAACGAAUACAGCUCCUCUCGGUCUAUAGAAUAGCAUAUACUUUAUUCUGGAAAGUCUAUCAUGCACUGGACUUAAUUGCUGUGGGGAGAACCUCAGUUUGUAUAGAAAGAAAUACAUAAGGCUUGUUGUUGUGUAUCAUAACUGAGCAUGAUUUGUAAACCUUUUUAUGUUCAUUAAAAAUAGAGGAAAAUGCA